RNAcentral lists this ribosomal RNA (775 nucleotides) under uncultured Neocallimastigales. Its description in RNAcentral is "partial large subunit ribosomal RNA". It matches the Rfam family "Eukaryotic large subunit ribosomal RNA", at positions 1 to 616 of the family's 3401-position model. Lineage: Eukaryota; Fungi; Neocallimastigomycota; Neocallimastigomycetes; Neocallimastigales. The record is from RNAcentral.
UUACUAGAGUAGCACUCGCAUAUCAAUAAGCGGAGGAAAAGAAACUAACAAGGAUUCCCCUAGUAACGGCGAGUGAAGCGGGAAGAGCUCAAAUUUGAAAUCUUAAAGGGUUUCCCUUUACGAAUUGUAGUUUAAAGAAGUGUUUUCUGUUGAGGUUUUGGUAAAAGUUCUUUGGAAUAGGACAUCAUAGAGGGUGAGAAUCCCGUAUUUGACCUUUACUUUCAACUUUGUGAUACACUUUCAAAGAGUCGGAUUGUUUGGGAAUGCAGUCCAAAAUGGGUGGUAAAUUUCAUCUAAAGCUAAAUAUUGGCGAGAGACCGAUAGCGAACAAGUACCGUGAGGGAAAGAUGAAAAGAACUUUGAAAAGAGAGUUAAACAGUACGUGAAAUUGUCAAAAGGGAAGCGUUUGACACCAGUGUUGUUUUUCUGAAAAUCAAUUAAAGAACUGUUUAUGCUAAGUUGUUUAGACUUUAUCAGCUAUCUGUUUAGUUUUGAGCUUUUCUUUAAUGCACUUUUCAGUUAACAAGUCAACAUCAAUUUCUUUUGCUGUUAAAAAGCUUGAGGAAGGUGGCUUGAGAUUCGUCUUAAGUGUUUAUAGCCUCUUGCCUAUGCAGUCGGAGAGAUUGAGGUCUGCAGCGUAGAUCCUUCGGGGCUAAAUGCAUUUGUGCUAAGUUAUAGCAUUUUAUAGACAACUUGUUGACUAUGAUUUGUCUUGUAGCUUACUCGCUUAUGUUAUUUUACCUACGCUUAGGAUGUUGAGCGCAUGUCUCUCUCU